CCCCGCAAGGGAGCGGCGGACGGGCGAGUAACGCGUGGGAAUUUUUCCUGGGGUACGGAACAACCGAGGGAAACUUCGGCUAAUACCGUAUGAUGCCGAGAGGCCAAAGAUUUAUCGCUCUGGGGUGAGCCCGCGUCAGAUUAGGUAGUUGGUGGGGUAAUGGCCUACCAAGCCUGCGAUCUGUAGCUGGUCUGAGAGGACGAUCAGCCACACUGGGACUGAGACACGGCCCAG
This 234-nucleotide ribosomal RNA is filed under the name uncultured bacterium. Its description in RNAcentral is "partial 16S ribosomal RNA". It matches the Rfam family "Bacterial small subunit ribosomal RNA", at positions 83 to 334 of the family's 1533-position model. The record is from RNAcentral.